UUUGGGUGACCACACAUGGUGCGCGCCUUGCUUCCAGAAUGAACAACGCUCAUCGCUUUGCCCUGUGGGCGCUCAGCGUGGCCGCCACUGCCAUUCUAGCCGACAUCGCAAACAGCGGCCCCUACUUCAUAGAUAUGGAGGCUUUCGAGCCGUGCGAUAACAUCGGAACGCUGGGCAUCAACUUCGAAGUCCGCCUCAUUGUGGACUCCGACAACAACACCGUCUACGAAGGAGACCUCACUUUUCCGUACGACUUGAGCGAUCCAGAGAUGACGACCAGCGUGUUAGUCGACCGAUGGGGCAGCACUGGUGGCUGGACCCGCAUCUACAACCUAACGGAGAAAGAUAUAUUCACGUACAUGAAGCUCAACUUUCCUAACGUCUUCGAAGUUUAUUACGGCUCCUUUGGUGUCACGGGCCCUCCAGCACCAGCCGGCAAGUACAGCAUGAAGCACUUCUUUCCACUGAACUUAAAGUUGCAGAGGAUGGCCUCGCUAAUGUAUGGACGCUUCAAGUUGAAUUUUCUGCAGUUCAAGGAUGGUGAAGACCUGGGUUGCCUCCAGGCCGUCUUCAGAGUCAAUGAGGCCGCAGCAGGUGAUGCAGCCAAAACACAUUUCGGCUAGUGAAACAUCAUUCAAGGACUUCUUGCUGCAAAACGACCCACCGGGCAGAGUCUGUAACAGAAGAGUAACAACGUGGAACACUCGCAGCUAGCCACAUGGAUCGAUAAUAAAUCUGUCAAAUAUUUAUAAACGUUGCAAUACAUUUUAUACUCUACAUGAAAACCCCACCAUAAAUAUAAUGAUGUACCUGA
Schistocerca piceifrons (Central American locust) is the source of this 814-nucleotide RNA transcript. RefSeq lists it as uncharacterized. The transcript is spliced from 6 exons. NCBI's taxonomy places the organism in Eukaryota, Metazoa, Arthropoda, Insecta, Orthoptera, Acrididae. The record is from RefSeq and is a predicted model, not a curated record.